RNAcentral lists this ribosomal RNA (497 nucleotides) under uncultured bacterium. RNAcentral's name for it is "partial 16S ribosomal RNA". It matches the Rfam family "Bacterial small subunit ribosomal RNA", at positions 28 to 507 of the family's 1533-position model. The record is from RNAcentral.
GAUGAACGCUGGCGGCGUGCCUAAUACAUGCAAGUCGAGCGAACAGACGAGGAGCUUGCUCCUCUGACGUUAGCGGCGGACGGGUGAGUAACACGUGGAUAACCUACCUAUAAGACUGGGAUAACUUCGGGAAACCGGAGCUAAUACCGGAUAAUAUAUUGAACCGCAUGGUUCAAUAGUGAAAGACGGUUUUGCUGUCACUUAUAGAUGGAUCCGCGCCGCAGUAGCUAGUUGGUAAGGUAACGGCUUACCAAGGCGACGAUGCGUAGCCGACCUGAGAGGGUGAUCGGCCACACUGGAACUGGGCCACGGUCCAGGCUCCUACGGGAGGCAGCAGUAGGGAAUCUUCCGCAAUGGGCGAAAGCCUGACGGAGCAACGCCGCGUGAGUGAUGAAGGUCUUCGGAUCGUAAAACUCUGUUAUUAGGGAAGAACAAAUGUGUAAGUAACUAUGCACGUCUUGACGGUACCUAAUCAGAAAGCCACGGCUAACUACGUG